UACGUAGGGGCCUGGCGUUGUCCGGAAUUAUUGGGCGUAAAGAGCUCGUAGGCGGCUUGUCACGUCGGGUGUGAAAGCCCGGGGCUUAACCCCGGGUCUGCAUUCGAUACGGGCUAGCUAGAGUGUGGUAGGGGAGAUCGGAAUUCCUGGUGUAGCGGUGAAAUGCGCAGAUAUCAGGAGGAACACCGGUGGCGAAGGCGAGUCCCUGGACAACACCUGACACUGAGGCACGAAAGCUAGGGGAGCAAACAGG
Molecule: ribosomal RNA, 253 nt
Filed under: uncultured bacterium
Lineage: Bacteria
Description: partial 16S ribosomal RNA
Rfam family: Bacterial small subunit ribosomal RNA
Source: RNAcentral